AUUACAUGUUGCAAUGUUUUUCAUUUUGAUUAAAGAGAAAACUAUUAACAAUACCUGUUAACCUAGUGUUAUAAUUAUGAGUUGCGCUAUUUAAGGUUAGUCUGUGUCGUUUUUGGUUAAUAGUUACCAAAGCUAUGAAAGCUGCUUUCUCUUCUCAUCCUCGCAGCCGUUUAUGAAGAGCAAAUCAUAAAAAUGUAUUGAAUUCUCCCGAAACAAACGAUCAGGAAAUGCGCCAGACAUGCAACAGACAUGCAACUAUUAGACUUUGUAAUUACCUGAUAAAAGUGUGCCAUGAUUAUAGAAAACAAAGCCGAUAAUAGUUUUUCAAAAGCCUACAUUGAUACACUUUUUUUUUAAUAAUAAAUUUGAAAAUGGAAUUAAUAAUAAACAUU
Molecule: long non-coding RNA, 392 nt
Organism: Aethina tumida (small hive beetle)
Lineage: Eukaryota; Metazoa; Arthropoda; Insecta; Coleoptera; Nitidulidae
Exons: 2
Source: RefSeq, a predicted model, not a curated record